Molecule: long non-coding RNA, 275 nt
Filed under: Erythranthe guttata (spotted monkey flower)
Lineage: Eukaryota; Viridiplantae; Streptophyta; Magnoliopsida; Lamiales; Phrymaceae
Description: long non-coding RNA (EGUT_LNC003527)
Source: RNAcentral
UGUUUUUGAGUGGGAAUUGAAGGACUUGAUGAGAUUACGGAGGAAGAUUUUGGAUUUAACGCCGGCGGAGACAGCGACGGAGGCGAUGGCGGCGUUGAUGGAAGACGAGGAGUUGCGACGGGGUUUGGGUGGUGGAUAAGGGGGACGGACGGCGGUGGAAACGUAUCGGGUAAUCGCGGGCUGCGCAGGUGAGAAUACGGCUGCGGCGGUGAAUACGGCGGCGAGAUUGCGGAGGAAUAGAAGAAAGAGAUUUGGGGGUGGUUACGAAAUUAAAG